This 411-nucleotide ribosomal RNA is filed under the name uncultured bacterium. Its description in RNAcentral is "bacterial SSU rRNA". It matches the Rfam family "Bacterial small subunit ribosomal RNA", at positions 370 to 772 of the family's 1533-position model. The record is from RNAcentral.
AAUGGGGGAAACCCUGACGCAGCCACGCCGUGUGAGUGAGGAAGGCCUUCGGGUUGUAAAGCUCUGUCAUUGGGGAAGAAACUCUAUCUGGGGAAAGUUCAGGUAGAUUGACGGUACCCGAGAAGGAAGCACCGGCUAACUCUGUGCCAGCAGCCGCGGUAAUACAGAGGGUGCAAGCGUUGUUCGGAAUUACUGGGCGUAAAGCGUUUGUAGGCGGUGCUGAGAGUCCUAGGUGAAAUCCCCGAGCUCAACUCGGGAACUGCCUAGGAGACCUCAGCACUAGAGUACUGAAGGGGUUACUGGAAUUCCAUGUGUAGCGGUGAAAUGCGUAGAUAUAUGGAGGAACACCUGUGGCGAAGGCGGGUAACUGGUCAGAGACUGACGCUGAGGAACGAAAGCGUGGGGAGCAAA